CCUACGGGAGGCAGCAGUGGGGAAUCUUGCGCAAUGGGCGAAAGCCUGACGCAGCCAUGCCGCGUGAAUGAUGAAGGUCUUAGGAUUGUAAAAUUCUUUCACCGGGGACGAUAAUGACGGUACCCGGAGAAGAAGCCCCGGCUAACUUCGUGCCAGCAGCCGCGGUGAUACGAAGGGGGCUAGCGUUGCUCGGAAUUACUGGGCGUAAAGGGAGCGUAGGCGGAUAGUUUAGUCAGAGGUGAAAGCCCAGGGCUCAACCUUGGAAUUGCCUUUGAUACUGGCUAUCUUGAGUAUGGGAGAGGUUAGCGGAACUCCGAGUGUAGAGGUGAAAUUCGUAGAUAUUCGGAAGAACACCAGUGGCGAAGGCGGCUAACUGGCCCAUUACUGACGCUGAGGCUCGAAAGCGUGGGGAGCAAACAGGAUUAGAUACCCUGGUAGUCCACGCCGUAAACGAUGAGUGCUAGUUGUCGGCAUGCAUGCAUGUCGGUGACGCAGCUAACGCAUUAAGCACUCCGCCUGGGGAGUACGGUCGCAAGNUUAAAACUCAAAGGAAUUGACGGNNGAGAGNGCGAGACGACGACGAGGGAGAGG
Molecule: ribosomal RNA, 591 nt
Filed under: uncultured bacterium
Lineage: Bacteria
Description: bacterial SSU rRNA
Rfam family: Bacterial small subunit ribosomal RNA
Source: RNAcentral